RNAcentral lists this ribosomal RNA (248 nucleotides) under uncultured Lachnospiraceae bacterium. RNAcentral's name for it is "partial 16S ribosomal RNA". It matches the Rfam family "Bacterial small subunit ribosomal RNA", at positions 524 to 771 of the family's 1533-position model. Lineage: Bacteria; Bacillati; Bacillota; Clostridia; Lachnospirales; Lachnospiraceae. The record is from RNAcentral.
UACGUAGGGGGCGAGCGUUAUCCGGAUUCACUGGGUGUAAAGGGAGCGUAGACGGCCAUGCAAGCCAGGGGUGAAAGCCCGGGGCCCAACCCCGGGACUGCCCUUGGAACUGCAUGGCUGGAGUGCGGGAGGGGCAGGCGGAAUUCCUGGUGUAGCGGUGAAAUGCGUAGAUAUCAGGAGGAACACCGGCGGCGAAGGCGGCCUGCUGGACCGCGACUGACGUUGAGGCUCGAAAGCGUGGGGAGCGA